Molecule: ribosomal RNA, 243 nt
Filed under: Staphylococcus epidermidis
Lineage: Bacteria; Bacillati; Bacillota; Bacilli; Caryophanales; Staphylococcaceae
Description: partial 23S ribosomal RNA
Rfam family: Bacterial large subunit ribosomal RNA
Source: RNAcentral
CACUCUAUACGGAGUUACAAAAGAACAUGUUAGACGAAUCAUCUGGAAAGAUGAAUCAAAGAAGGUAAUAAUCCUGUAGUCGAAAACAUAUUCUCUCUUGAGUGGAUCCUGAGUACGACGGAGCACGUGAAAUUCCGUCGGAAUCUGGGAGGACCAUCUCCUAAGGCUAAAUACUCUCUAGUGACCGAUAGUGAACCAGUACCGUGAGGGAAAGGUGAAAAGUACCCCGGAAGGGGAGUGAAA